GGAAAAAAAUCUGUCGACGGAAGUGAUAUUCGUCGAGGCGGAGGCAUAAAGCAUAUAGGGAAAUUUACUAACUUCCUUUUUUACUGUGGCCGCCAUAGCGAGUGGAGCGUGGUUCCCGGCGAGCCGAAAAGAAAUUACCGAAAAUGGCCUGUGCACGACCCCUGAUUUCGGUUUAUUCCGAGAAAGGAGAAUCCGCAGGCAAGAAUGUUGUCAUGCCUGCUGUGUUCAAGGCUCCAAUUCGCCCUGAUGUUGUGAAUUUUGUUCACACCAACAUGCGCAAGAACAGUCGCCAGCCUUAUGCAGUCAGUGAACUGGCAGGCCACCAAACCAGUGCAGAGUCCUGGGGUACAGGAAGAGCUGUGGCCCGUAUCCCUCGUGUGAGAGGUGGUGGUACUCACCGCUCGGGCCAGGGUGCUUUUGGAAAUAUGUGUCGUGGAGGACGCAUGUUUGCCCCCACCAAAACCUGGCGCCGCUGGCACCGCAGGAUCAACACAACCCAGAAGCGUUAUGCCAUUUGCUCUGCCGUGGCUGCCUCUGCUAUUCCUGCACUUGUGAUGUCCAAAGGACACCGCAUUGAGGAAAUCCCUGAGGUCCCACUGGUUGUUGAAGACAAAGUUGAGGGCUACAAGAAGACCAAGGAGGCAGUGCUCCUGCUGAAGAAGCUUAAAGCCUGGAAUGACAUCAAGAAGGUCUACGCCUCUCAGCGCAUGCGUGCUGGUAAGGGUAAGAUGAGGAAUCGCAGACGUAUCCAACGCAGAGGACCAUGCAUCAUCUACAACCAAGACGCUGGUGUCACCAAAGCCUUCAGAAAUAUCCCAGGCAUCACUCUGCAGAAUGUGAACAAACUGAACCUCCUGAGGCUCGCCCCUGGUGGUCACGUUGGACGCUUCUGCAUCUGGACUGAGAGUGCUUUCCGCAAGCUGGAUGAGCUGUACGGCACCUGGCGUAAACCUGCUUCCCUGAAGGUCGGCUACAACCUGCCCAUGCACAAGAUGACCAACACAGACCUGAGCAGGAUUCUGAAGAGUGAGGAGAUCCAGAAAGCUCUUCGUGCGCCUAAGUAAGCAUGGCCCACUUUCAGUUCUUUAAAUUUUGUUUCAGCUUGUCAACUAUGAUGAUGUUCCACUUCAGGUCCGUGUUUCUGAACCCUGAUUAUUAUGGAGUCCUGAGCGACAAAGUUUAUUACCAACUUGCAGUUCAGCAGAAGUUUGCGUUGUUAAGACUGGGUUAUAUUGUCAUUACAGCAAGAAGAUCAACCGCAGAGUACUGAAGAAGAAUCCUCUGAAGAACUUGAGGAUAAUGCUCAAAUUGAACCCUUAUGCCAAGACAGCAAGACGUCAUGCCAUCCUCAAGCAUGACCCUGUGAUCAAGGCCAAGAUGCUGAAACCCAAGAAGAAGCCUGGAAAGAAGGGAGCACCUGCCAAACCCAAGGCAUAAAUCUAUACUUAACAGACUGGUGAUCAGUGAUAAAUAAAUCAGUUGUUUCAAA
Molecule: RNA transcript, 1489 nt
Organism: Siniperca chuatsi (mandarin fish)
Lineage: Eukaryota; Metazoa; Chordata; Actinopteri; Centrarchiformes; Sinipercidae
Gene: rpl4
Gene name: ribosomal protein L4
Exons: 9
Source: RefSeq, a predicted model, not a curated record